This 253-nucleotide ribosomal RNA is filed under the name uncultured bacterium. RNAcentral's name for it is "partial 16S ribosomal RNA". It matches the Rfam family "Bacterial small subunit ribosomal RNA", at positions 524 to 776 of the family's 1533-position model. The record is from RNAcentral.
UACGGAGGGUGCAAGCGUUAAUCGGAAUUACUGGGCGUAAAGGGUGCGUAGGUGGUUGAAUAAGUUAGGUGUGAAAGUCCUGGGCUUAACCUGGGGAUUGCGCCUAAUACUGUUUAGCUAGAGUACUGUAGAGGAAGGUGGAAUUUCCAGUGUAGCGGUGAAAUGCGUAGAUAUUGGAAGGAACAUCAGUGGCGAAGGCGACUUUCUGGACAGAUACUGACACUGAGGCACGAAAGCGUGGGGAGCAAACAGG